GACGAACGCUGGCGGCGUGCUUAACACAUGCAAGUCGAACGGAAAGGCCCUGCUUUUGUGGGUUGCUCGAGUGGCGAACGGGUGAGUAACACGUGAGUAACCUGCCCUUGACUUUGGGAUAACUUCAGGAAACUGGGGCUAAUACCGGAUAUGAGCUCCUGCUGCAUGGUGGGGGUUGGAAAGUUUCGGCGGUUGGGGAUGGACUCGCGGCUUAUCAGCUUGUUGGUGGGGUAGUGGCUUACCAAGGCUUUGACGGGUAGCCGGCCUGAGAGGGUGACCGGCCACAUUGGGACUGAGAGACGGCCCAGAAUCCUACGGGAGGCAGCAGUGGGGAAUAUUGCACAAUGGGCGGAAGCCUGAUGCAGCAACGCCGCGUGCGGGAUGACGGCCUUCGGGUUGUAAACCGCUUUCGCCUGUGACGAAGCGUGAGUGACGGUAAUGGGUAAAGAAGCACCGGCUAACUACGUG
Molecule: ribosomal RNA, 468 nt
Filed under: uncultured bacterium
Lineage: Bacteria
Description: partial 16S ribosomal RNA
Rfam family: Bacterial small subunit ribosomal RNA
Source: RNAcentral